AGGGUACAUCUCACUUGGAAAAUGAGAGGAAUAAGCUGCCAAACAAACCUAACCAACCAACCAUCCUCCACUUACUAAACAGGGCUUACUCUCCUUUAUUGCUAAACCAGGAUUGGAUCAAAUUCCUUCUAGACCUGCCUGCCUUUGCAAGUUGAUCUGCAGAAGAAUUAUGCAGCCUGUUUAUGUGAUUUACUAUAACAUUAUACGCCCAACUAGUUGUUGAUCCAGAGCAGCCAAGUCUGUACUUUUUGAAAUGUUGGACCAGUGAAAGAGAGUCCAUGAAAACCGCAAUUUUAUGAGAGCCCAAUGAGCUGGACUGAAAAACAUGAAGAAGGUGGUAAAGGGCCUCCAGUUCUGUAUCAAAUACAGAGGUAUUGUUUGUUGGGCCUGAAAACAAAUAGCGAACUUUCUUUUCUCUGUCUAUUAAGAACCCCCCUAUGCCUGCAGAAGAAAUAUCGUUUAUCUCCUUGUAAGAUCCAUCCACAAAACCAAUGAAGUCCACUACCUUAAGCCAUUUGUCUAUUGUGGUUUUAAGCUUCCUCUUAGAGCUUAACUUAAUAGCGUCGCAAGGGCUUAGAUUUCAGAUACUACUUUCCUGAUUAGACACCUGAUUUUGCCCAGCAAAAAGCUCGAAAUUUUACGAGAGAAUGGACUUGAGGAGCUUUCAGGAAAUUGUUAUUAAAGACCCCGUCAUUUCUAACCGUCCACAACGUCCAAAGCACUGCUGAUAUGCAUAUGCGAACGCCAACUUUGUGAUGCUUGCCAAUACUGAGACAAUUCAUAACAUCAAAAUUAUGAUUAAGGUUAAUAUCGCAGUUAGCCCAUAAUUUCCAUUCAGACCACACCUGUUUUGCAAAAGGACAGUCCCACAGAUCAAUCAUCGUUAAAACCGCAUGCGAAACACAUUAGUUGAUCACACAUUAAUUAUUGCGGCAAAAGGUUUUUUGGAUUAAAAUCAU
RNAcentral lists this long non-coding RNA (959 nucleotides) under Daucus carota (carrot). RNAcentral's name for it is "long non-coding RNA (DCAR_LNC002202)". The record is from RNAcentral. Lineage: Eukaryota; Viridiplantae; Streptophyta; Magnoliopsida; Apiales; Apiaceae.